RNAcentral lists this ribosomal RNA (253 nucleotides) under uncultured bacterium. RNAcentral describes it as "partial 16S ribosomal RNA". It matches the Rfam family "Bacterial small subunit ribosomal RNA", at positions 524 to 776 of the family's 1533-position model. The record is from RNAcentral.
UACGGGGGGGGCAAGCGUUGUUCGGAAUUACUGGGCGUAAAGCGUGCGCAGGCGGCUUUGCAAGACAGGUGUGAAAUCCCCGGGCUUAACCUGGGAACUGCAUUUGUGACUGCAUCGCUGGAGUGCGGCAGAGGGGGAUGGAAUUCCGCGUGUAGCAGUGAAAUGCGUAGAUAUGCGGAGGAACACCGAUGGCGAAGGCAAUCCCCUGGGCCUGCACUGACGCUCAUGCACGAAAGCGUGGGGAGCAAACAGG